GCAGUUUCCUGUUAGUAAAAAACCCCAACUGGCAGUCUGUUAUUGUCACAUCUUUGUCCACAGCGGUUCUAGUGAGCAUCGGCUUUCUGUUCAUUUAGUUUCUCAGUCAUGGACAAAACUGUGCUGCUCCUGCUGUACCUGCAGGUUGUUCUGCUCAUCACUGCCUUUCCUUCGGACGCAGCUGGUCAAGUUGUAGUGAAAGGUCCAGAUCAGGUAAAAAGAUCCGCAACAGCAAUCAAACAGGUGGCAAACAGGACGGUCAACCCAUCAAAGAAAAAAAUACAGAAGAGAAAGAGACCUGGAAUGUGGGGCCCAUUGGGCCAGUAGUUUACCCAUCAUACAUUGCUGCAACCAGAAACUCCUUCCUGCAUUUUUCCAUUGACCUGGGUGCUUCAAUAAUCAACGCAUAUAAACUAUCAAAACAACAGAUUCUCUGCAAACAUGUUGCAACAUUGCAGUUGGUGCAGCGGUCACCUCGCAUACAUGACCAAAAUAGACAGAUGUUUGAGCCAGCUCACUAGAUUUCUCUGAAAAGUCAGAAAUUAAACACAAAUAACAUUUAACCACUAAAACUAAUUUCGGAAGUAAAUAUAAGGCUGAGUAUUAGGGCCACAUUAGGAAAAUAAAAUAUUUUGAUCGAUUUGAGAAUAAAGUCAAACUUUCAAGAUUAAAUUUGAAAAUCUAUUUUGAGCAAAGCAUCGAAAUGUUGUUGUUUCAAGACAAACUGCCAUGUUUCUUAUACCCUAUACAAAAUGCCUUGUGUAGAUGAAUUAGCUAUUUCAAAUUGUACAAAUCCACUCUUCCAAGUUUGUGUGUUUCCGUCUGACCAGAUGCAGCUUUCUGCACCAUCAUUUCAACGUCCUUUUACUUAUCACCAUAAUAUGUUUGUGUGCUAAAAGAAAAAUCAUUUCCUUCCUUGUUACUUAAGCCAAUUCUGAAGUGCAAUUUCACUCAGAGGGUACAGCAACCAUGGCUGAUUGUAAUUCUAUUUUGUUUCAAGACAAUGUUAUUCUCAAAAUGAUCAUUAAUAUUUUUUUAUCUUUAUGUGGCCCUAAUACUAGUUUGUAUAAAUAACCUUGGCAUCUUAAUUUUUUUUAAAACUCCUAAAGCACUUAACUGUUUUCAGGUUUUUUUGGUAAAACUAUGAAUUUGAAAAAUCGUAGAUAACAACAAUAAUUAUUUUUAUGUUAUAAAAAUGUAUAAACAUUGCAUGUUGGAGGAUUAACCACAGGAACAUAAAAAGUGGUUUUGGUAAACCUUCCACUGGAUAGUAAUAAUAAUUUUGUUAAGUACUGCAUGUGCUGAGUAUAAACUGGACUAAUAAAAUAUUUAAUGCACUUCACAUUUGUGUGAAUUAGACUGAUAUUCUGAAAAGAAGCUGUGUAGUAAAUUGUAAGAUUAUCAGAUGAUGACAAAUAAAAAGAUAAGAUGGUGUUAAACACAGUGCCAGAAAAUCAGAUGAGUGAGUGUAAAAUGUACUGAUUGACACCGUGUUUGUUAUUCUAGAUGAAUAUUUGCUUCUCCUUCAAACCCCUGACUCACUGACUUUGAAUAACUGUAAAACUUCCACAUGUCUUCUGAAAAUUUUAUUCAGUAACUUACUGACUUACCUGUGUUGGUUUUAAGACAGUGAAAGAAGAUUUUUCUAAUCACUGUAUUUUACCAAAAAAAAAAAAAGUUUGAUCAGACAAUCUGUUCUUGCACUGAGUAUGCAACAUCAAAACACAAGACGCUUUUCUAUAUGCAAUAAAAUCCCUAUUUUCUUUGUAA
This is a long non-coding RNA of Oreochromis niloticus (Nile tilapia), 1770 nucleotides long. RefSeq lists it as uncharacterized. The transcript has 3 exons. The record is from RefSeq and is a predicted model, not a curated record. Lineage: Eukaryota; Metazoa; Chordata; Actinopteri; Cichliformes; Cichlidae.